Non-coding RNA from Myotis davidii, 130 nucleotides. Lineage: Eukaryota; Metazoa; Chordata; Mammalia; Chiroptera; Vespertilionidae. The record is from Rfam.
AAGCCAGCCAAUGAGCCUGCUUAGGUGAGCAUGCUCUGCAGAAACUUAUACAAAGCUGGCAAUAGUAAAGCCGUAUUACAAGACUUAAAGACAUUGAAGUCAGCAAGAUCCCUGAGAAUGACUUAUAAGA